Molecule: ribosomal RNA, 468 nt
Filed under: uncultured bacterium
Lineage: Bacteria
Description: partial 16S ribosomal RNA
Rfam family: Bacterial small subunit ribosomal RNA
Source: RNAcentral
GACGAACGCUGGCGGCGUGCUUAACACAUGCAAGUCGAACGGAAAGGCCCUGCUUUUGUGGGGUGCUCGAGUGGCGAACGGGUGAGUAACACGUGAGUAACCUGCCCUUGACUUUGGGAUAACUUCAGGAAACUGGGGCUAAUACCGGAUAGGAGCUCCUGCUGCAUGGGGGGGGUUGGAAAGUUUCGGCGGUUGGGGAUGGACUCGAGGCUUAUCAGCUUGUUGGUGGGGUAGUGGCUUACCAAGGCUUUGACGGGUAGCCGGCCUGAGAGGGUGACCGGCCACAUUGGGACUGAGAUACGGCCCAGACUCCUACGGGAGGCAGCAGUGGGGAAUAUUGCACAAUGGGCGGAAGCCUGAUGCAGCAACGCCGCGUGCGUGAUGACGGCCUUCGGGUUGUAAACCGCUUUCGCCUGUGACGAAGCGUGAGUGACGGUAAUGGGUAAAGAAGCACCGGCUAACUACGUG